UACGAAGGGGGCUAGCGUUGCUCGGAAUCACUGGGCGUAAAGGGCGCGUAGGCGGCCUGAUCAGUCGGGGGUGAAAGCCUGUGGCUCAACCACAGAAUGGCCUUCGAUACUGUCGGGCUUGAGACCGGAAGAGGUAAGUGGAACUGCGAGUGUAGAGGUGAAAUUCGUAGAUAUUCGCAAGAACACCAGUGGCGAAGGCGGCAUCCUGGACCGAGAUUGACGCUGAUGCGCGAAAGCCAGGGGAGCAAACGGG
Molecule: ribosomal RNA, 253 nt
Filed under: uncultured bacterium
Lineage: Bacteria
Description: partial 16S ribosomal RNA
Rfam family: Bacterial small subunit ribosomal RNA
Source: RNAcentral